RNAcentral lists this long non-coding RNA (298 nucleotides) under Mytilus galloprovincialis (Mediterranean mussel). The record is from RNAcentral. Lineage: Eukaryota; Metazoa; Mollusca; Bivalvia; Mytilida; Mytilidae.
GUCGUAAUAAACAGAUAACAAAUAAACAAAUAACAAAUAAAUGAAUGUUAAAAAACAAAUAUUGGGGAGUCCAGUCUAGUAUAUAGUCCAUCCAAUACAGUCCAGUCCAAAAGUCCAGUCCAGUCCAGUCCAACAGUCCAGUCCAGUCUAGGCAAUACACUUUGCCACACCUGAAUCACGAUAUCAUGCCAAGACUUCGAGGUAAACAGAGAUACAGGUGAAAAAUACAUGAUGUGUAAAAAUGAACUAAUUUUUUCAUCCAUCUAACAAGCAUCAUCUAUUAGUUUAAUGACGGCAC